RNAcentral lists this ribosomal RNA (497 nucleotides) under uncultured bacterium. RNAcentral describes it as "partial 16S ribosomal RNA". It matches the Rfam family "Bacterial small subunit ribosomal RNA", at positions 28 to 507 of the family's 1533-position model. The record is from RNAcentral.
GAUGAACGCUGGCGGCGUGCCUAAUACAUGCAAGUCGAGCGAACGGACGAGAAGCUUGCUUCUCUGAUGUUAGCGGCGGACGGGUGAGUAACACGUGGAUAACCUACCUAUAAGACUGGGAUAACUUCGGGAAACCGUAGCUAAUACCGGAUAAUAUUUUGAACCGCAUGGUUCAAAAGUGAAAGACGGUCUUGCUGUCACUUAUAGAUGGAUCCGCGCUGCAUUAGCUAGUUGGUAAGGUAACGGCUUACCAAGGCAACGAUGCAUAGCCGACCUGAGAGGGUGGUCGGCCACACUGGAACUGAGCCACGGUCCAGACUCCUACGGGAGGCAGCAGUAGGGAAUCUUCCGCAAUGGGCGAAAGCCUGACGGAGCAACGCCGCGUGAGUGAUGAAGGUCUUCGGAUCGUAAAACUCUGUUAUUAGGGAAGAACAUAUGUGUAAGUAACUGUGCACAUCUUGACGGUACCUAAUCAGAAAGCCACGGCUAACUACGUG